UACGUAGGGUGCAAGCGUUGUCCGGAAUUAUUGGGCGUAAAGCGCUCGUAGGCGGUCCGUCACGUCGGGAGUGAAAACUUGGGGCUUAACCCCAAGCCUGCUUCCGAUACGGGCGGACUAGAGGUAGGCAGGGGAGAACGGAAUUCCUGGUGUAGCGGUGAAAUGCGCAGAUAUCAGGAGGAACACCGGUGGCGAAGGCGGUUCUCUGGGCCUUACCUGACGCUGAGGAGCGAAAGCGUGGGGAGCAAACAGG
RNAcentral lists this ribosomal RNA (253 nucleotides) under uncultured bacterium. Its description in RNAcentral is "partial 16S ribosomal RNA". It matches the Rfam family "Bacterial small subunit ribosomal RNA", at positions 524 to 776 of the family's 1533-position model. The record is from RNAcentral.